Molecule: ribosomal RNA, 571 nt
Filed under: uncultured bacterium
Lineage: Bacteria
Description: bacterial SSU rRNA
Rfam family: Bacterial small subunit ribosomal RNA
Source: RNAcentral
CAGACGGGUGAGUAACACGUGGGAACAUACCUUUUGGUUCGGAACAACUGAGGGAAACUUCAGCUAAAACCGGAUAAGCCCCGAGGGGGAAAGAUUUAUCGCCAUUAGAUUGGCCCGCGUCCGAUUAGCUAGUUGGUGGGGUAAAGGCCUACCAAGGCGACGAUCGGUAGCUGUUCUGAGAGGAAGAUCAGCCACACUGGGACUGAGACACGGCCCAGACUCCUACGGGAGGCAGCAGUGGGGAAUAUUGGACAAUGGGCGCAAGCCUGAUCCAGCCAUGCCACGUGGAUGAAGAAGGCCCUAGGGUUGUAAAGUCCUUUCGGUGGUGAAGAUAAUGACGGUAACCACAGAAGAAGCCCCGGCUAAUUUCGUGCCAGCAGCCGCGGUAAUACGAAAGGGGCUAGCGUUGUUCGGAAUUACUGGGCGUAAAGCGCACGUAGGCGGCAUUGUAAGAUGGGGGUGAAAUCCCCGGGCUCAACCCGGGAACUGCCUUCAUGACUGCAAAGCUCGAGGAUGCGAGAGGUGAGUGGAAUUCCGAGUGUAGAGGUGAAAUUCGUAGAUAUUCGGAAGA